AUGGAGUUCAUCCCCGACAGCUGCUGGAACGCCGGGAUGCCCAGCGCGCCGAUGAUGAGCUGCGGCCGGUUCCGCACGGCCAGCAGGUUCCGGAACGUGCCGCGCACCGCCCGCGCCGCCUCGCUCGCCACCUUGAGGUCCUCGAACUCGGCGUCCACCUUGUGCGUCCCGCGCACCUUCUCCAGCACGCGCCGGGCCUCCUCCAGCCGCCCGCGCUCCACCAGGCUGUUGGGCGUCUCCGGCAGGAACAGCGCGCCGACGAAGAUGGCGGUGGCGGGCACCACGGCGAGGCCCAGCGAGAGGCGCCACCCCCACGGGUGGAUCCGGUCGGUGAAGUAG
Molecule: ribosomal RNA, 339 nt
Filed under: Triticum aestivum (bread wheat)
Lineage: Eukaryota; Viridiplantae; Streptophyta; Magnoliopsida; Poales; Poaceae
Description: partial small subunit ribosomal RNA
Source: RNAcentral